CAGGGCAGGGGCGGCGGUGCAUUACCAUGCAAGUCGAACGAUGAUGCCCAGCUUGCUGGGUGGAUUAGUGGCGAACGGGUGAGUAACACGUGAGUAACCUGCCCCUGACUCUGGGAUAAGCGUUGGAAACGACGUCUAAUACUGGAUAUGACUGCCGGCCGCAUGGUCUGGUGGUGGAAAGAUUUUUUGGUUGGGGAUGGACUCGCGGCCUAUCAGCUUGUUGGUGAGGUAAUGGCUCACCAAGGCGACGACGGGUAGCCGGCCUGAGAGGGUGACCGGCCACACUGGGACUGAGACACGGCCCAGACUCCUACGGGAGGCAGCAGUGGGGAAUAUUGCACAAUGGGCGAAAGCCUGAUGCAGCAACGCCGCGUGAGGGAUGACGGCCUUCGGGUUGUAAACCUCUUUUAGUAGGGAAGAAGCGAAAGUGACGGUACCUGCAGAAAAAGCACCGGCUAACUACGUGCCAGCAGCCGCGGUAAUACGUAGGGUGCAAGCGUUGUCCGGAAUUAUUGGGCGUAAAGAGCUCGUAGGCGGUUUGUCGCGUCUGCUGUGAAAUCCCGAGGCUCAACCUCGGGCUUGCAGUGGGUACGGGCAGACUAGAGUGCGGUAGGGGAGAUUGGAAUUCCUGGUGUAGCGGUGGAAUGCGCAGAUAUCAGGAGGAACACCGAUGGCGAAGGCAGAUCUCUGGGCCGUAACUGACGCUGAGGAGCGAAAGCAUGGGGAGCGAACAGGAUUAGAUACCCUGGUAGUCCAUGCCGUAAACGUUGGGCGCUAGAUGUAGGGACCUUUCCACGGGUUUCUGUGUCGUAGCUAACGCAUUAAGCGCCCCGCCUGGGGGAGUACGGCCGCAAGGCUAAACUCAAAGGAAUUGACGGGGGCCCGCACAAGCGGCGGAGCAUGCGGAUUAUUUCGAUGCACGCGAAGAACCUUUACCAAGGCUUUGACAUACACCGGAAACGGCCAAGAGAUGGUCGGCUCCCCUUGUUGUCGG
Molecule: ribosomal RNA, 994 nt
Filed under: Curtobacterium citreum
Lineage: Bacteria; Bacillati; Actinomycetota; Actinomycetes; Micrococcales; Microbacteriaceae
Description: bacterial SSU rRNA
Rfam family: Bacterial small subunit ribosomal RNA
Source: RNAcentral